Non-coding RNA from Podarcis lilfordi (Lilford's wall lizard), 1053 nucleotides. NCBI's taxonomy places the organism in Eukaryota, Metazoa, Chordata, Lepidosauria, Squamata, Lacertidae. The record is from the annotation of a GenBank genome assembly.
AGUGGAACAGUCUCCCUCAAGAGGUGGUGGGAUCUCCUUCCUUGGAAGUAUUUAAAGAGAAGUUGGAUGGCCAUCGGCAGGCCAGAUUUCAGCUGGAUGAGGCUCUAAGCUAUUGAAAGUCAUGGGGCCCUUGAUAUGUCCAGCUGUCCUUUGUCAACAACAAAUGGGCGCUGUUUUUUGUGUGUUCAAUAUCUGCUAUUUGAUCAUCGAUGGACCUAAUCGGUAUCUCAAGCCAUUUGCACAUAACAAAAUAUGUAUUUUAUCAAAGUAAUUGUUGAAAAGUCCAUGCAGAAUGUAGGCACCCUAUAUAUAGAAAGGAGCAAACCAGUGAUAUUUGAGGGAGCAGGCGGGGCCCAUGACUUACAUCAUAGGAGCCUACACAACACAAAACACAGUUGCUGUGUGUAGGUUUUAUUUUAUUUGUUUUUUAUCUUAUAUUUUGGAAAUGUACAUCCAGUUUGUUUUUCCUUUAAUUUUUUUAUUGGGGGGGGCUGAGACAGACCUGAAAUGUGCCUUUAUUUCCUCCCUUUUUUCUUCUUGCUUCCUUCAGCCUUUUAGGAAUUAUCGGUACGGAGAUCCCAAAUGACCAGAGGAAACUGUUCCUGUAUGCGACAACAGCCGCCCAGAUGCUAUUAGCCCAGAGAUGGAAGGAAGAAACACUCCCAACCAGAGAAGAAUGGCAAAUCCAGUGGAUGGACUCUGCCGAAAUGGCAAAAUUAACUGGGAAGCUCAGAAGCAAGAAGACAAGAAAUUUUAAAAAGAGAAUGGGAAAUGUUCACGAUGCAAAAUCAUUGUAAACAGGUCAAAACAUUAGCAGGAUUUUAAACACACUUGUAAUUUAACAGAAUGCACAGAUGAUUUAGGAAGAUGAAGAAAUGGAGAAGUAUUGAUACGCAGUUGAAAAUAGACUCAAUAGGACCACGGAAGGGAUGGGGGGGGAGGAGUCAGGAGAUUCAGAGUAAAUUCAAUAUUUGGAUUUAGAAUUGUUUUCGAUUUUGGAAAAUCAAAUAAAAAAUUAUUUCACACACAAAAUGCAAACUUGCUGGAGACGGG